Molecule: ribosomal RNA, 608 nt
Filed under: Marinobacter flavimaris
Lineage: Bacteria; Pseudomonadati; Pseudomonadota; Gammaproteobacteria; Pseudomonadales; Marinobacteraceae
Description: bacterial SSU rRNA
Rfam family: Bacterial small subunit ribosomal RNA
Source: RNAcentral
CUUCCGGCAGGCUUACACAUGCAAGUCGAGCGGUAACAGAUCUAGCUUGCUAGAUGCUGACGAGCGGCGGACGGGUGAGUAAUGCAUAGGAAACUGCCCAGUAGUGGGGGAUAGCCCGGGGAAACCCGGAUUAAUACCGCGUACGCCCUUCGGGGGAAAGCAGGGGAUCUUCGGACCUUGCGCUAUUGGAUGUGCCUAUGUCGGAUUAGCUAGUUGGUGGGGUAAAGGCCUACCAAGGCGACGAUCCGUAGCUGGUCUGAGAGGAUGAUCAGCCACAUCGGGACUGAGACACGGCCCGAACUCCUACGGGAGGCAGCAGUGGGGAAUAUUGGACAAUGGGGGCAACCCUGAUCCAGCCAUGCCGCGUGUGUGAAGAAGGCUUUCGGGUUGUAAAGCACUUUCAGUGAGGAGGAAAAGUUGGUCACUAAUAUUGGUCAGCCUUGACGUUACUCACAGAAGAAGCACCGGCUAACUCCGUGCCAGCAGCCGCGGUAAUACGGAGGGUGCAAGCGUUAAUCGGAAUUACUGGGCGUAAAGCGCGCGUAGGUGGUUUGAUAAGCGAGAUGUGAAAGCCCCGGGCUUAACCUGGGAACGGCAUUUCGAACUGU